AGGCGAACCGGGGGAACUGAAACAUCUAAGUACCCCGAGGAAAAGAAAUCAACCGAGAUUCCCCCAGUAGCGGCGAGCGAACGGGGAGGAGCCCAGAGCCUGAAUCAGCAUGUGUGUUAGUGGAAGCGUCUGGAAAGGCGCGCGAUACAGGGUGACAGCCCCGUACACAAAAGCGCAUGUGCUGUGAGCUCGAUGAGUAGGGCGGGACACGUGGUAUCCUGUCUGAAUAUGGGGGGACCAUCCUCCAAGGCUAAAUACUCCUGACUGACCGAUAGUGAACCAGUACCGUGAGGGAAAGGCGAAAAGAACCCCGGCGAGGGGAGUGAAAAAGAACCUGAAACCGUGUACGUACAAGCAGUGGGAGCACCCUUCGGGGUGUGACUGCGUACCUUUUGUAUAAUGGG
This 404-nucleotide ribosomal RNA is filed under the name Salmonella enterica subsp. enterica serovar Typhimurium. RNAcentral describes it as "partial 23S ribosomal RNA". It matches the Rfam family "Bacterial large subunit ribosomal RNA", at positions 177 to 619 of the family's 2925-position model. The record is from RNAcentral. Lineage: Bacteria; Pseudomonadati; Pseudomonadota; Gammaproteobacteria; Enterobacterales; Enterobacteriaceae.